Regulatory RNA element from Cellulomonas fimi ATCC 484, 61 nucleotides. It matches the Rfam family "Actino-pnp RNA". The record is from Rfam. NCBI's taxonomy places the organism in Bacteria, Bacillati, Actinomycetota, Actinomycetes, Micrococcales, Cellulomonadaceae.
UCCGGUCCUCGGUAGUGGCCCCCGGAGCUCUCGGCUCCGAGGACCACGGUCGAAGACCGCC